Cyclopterus lumpus (lumpfish) is the source of this 2897-nucleotide RNA transcript. It is a transcript of the gene named coiled-coil domain containing 28B, with no coding region annotated. Lineage: Eukaryota; Metazoa; Chordata; Actinopteri; Perciformes; Cyclopteridae. The transcript is spliced from 5 exons. The record is from RefSeq and is a predicted model, not a curated record.
GACGGACAAAACACCACAGCUCCGCAAGAGCCGAGCGCAUCGAUCAUGCCCCGCUUUACCUUUUGAUCAGUGAUUACCAGUGAAUGACUCCUGCGCUGCAGCGGACACAGUUCAGCAGCAACACCGUGUGUUUAUUGACAUUAGUCCCGAUGAGGUCGACAUAGACGUUUUUAAAUGGCGGGAGGAGAAAUUUGACGCUUCGCUCAACCGGUUUGCUUUCUGGUGCGUAAUUGAUUCGAGUGGAGAACCCUGAUCUGCAGCACUAGUUUUGGCGCAGUCUCCACGGAGCCCUUUCCUCAGGGAGGGGGAAGGCUGCAGGUUUUCAACUUCCUACCCUUUGUUGCUUCAGGACGUCCCGUACACCGGCCAGGCAGUGCCCCUUCAUAUCACUCCAGAGUGCUUCACUCAAGAGAUCAAUGAUAAUGGAAGACAAACGCAAGAAGCGGAGCCCAAAGGUGUCUCUCCCCCAGCCCCCUCCUCCCCCCAUCAACCCACGCAAACUCUCCGUCCUGCCCGCCAGCAAAAGUGCCACCUUCUCUCUCGGCCUGCCACAGCCCCCCUCCCCCAAGAACCGAGGCAAGUUUAAGAGGUCCAUAGGAGCGCCAGGACAGCCCAAAGAGGUGUUCACAGCUGUUCUCGCUCCACCGAAGACCACCAGGCCCCACAAGGAGAAGCCCAGGGCCCCCCAGCCUGCAGGGCCCAGUCGAGUAGUCCAGUCUUCCCCCCUGCAGCACUCGUUUCUCACGGAUGUCUCAGAUGUGAGAGAGAUGGAGGGAGGCCUCCUCAACCUCCUCAAUGACUUCCACUCAGGCAAACUACAGGCUUUCGGUAAGGUGUGCUCCUUUGAGCAACUGGAGCAUGUGCGUGAGAUGCAGGAGAAGCUGGCACGACUGCACUUCAGCCUCGACAGCCACGUGGAGGAGCUUUCAGAGGACCAGAGGAAGUGUGCCUCCGACCACAACCUGGAGCACCUGCUAUGCAACGUAAGCAAUGCAUGCCAAAACUGCCCACUAAAUGACAAUAAAUCGUGUUACAUUGUCAUCUGUCAUGGUGGACAUUUACUAUACAUCAGUAAAUCUCUCUUAGUUAUAUUUCUCCAAUUUCUUAAAUGCACUUUGAUGGAUUUUAAUGAGUGUUUCAGAGCAUCAUCAGGGCAUGUCCCAGUCUCAACUCUGGCCAAGGCCAAACACUUCAUUCACCCUUCAAAAACAAUAAUACAAAUGAAAACCUGGAGAAAAUUAAAUGGUUAUGAGCACUACAGUUAUUAACUGUCAAUAAAGUGUCAUUGAACCUGUCAAUCAGGGGAAUAGUUAAAUACUGUAAUAUGCUUUCUUUUUGUUGUUGUUCUUUUAAAGAGCGAGAGUGUUAACAAGUCAAGGUCAUGACAUUCAGGAUAUCAAAAGCACCAAAUCUAUUUUUUCCUUCCUUUCACUCUUCACAGCUGUGAACCUUUCAUCAAAGCAGAUAAGCCAGUCUGAGAUUAGUCAUGUAAGCAGUGUGGACAUCGUUGAACGCUCUGCCGAGUUUCUUGUACGUGUUGAAUGUUGAUUAUUAUUAUCCAGCACAAACAGCUCGGUGUCGGCCAAGAAUGCCUUGAAAGAGUGUCUAUUGUUAGCCUGUCGUGUGGCGCUGGUUACCCACGCCUGUGGCUGCUAUGUUCGCUGAGGGGAAGUUGCGGUGCCGUGUGUGAGAAAAGGCCCUAAGCUUGUUUACGGAGACUGCUGCCUGGAAUCCUUGCUAGCUGUAGCGGCGGAGCAGAAGGGAAGUGCUUUUGUAAACAUGGUCCGACGAUGGGAGUUUAUUCAGAUAGAGUGCACACACUCACACACUAAUUUGGGCUGUUAUUUUCAUCGCACCUCUCACGCCUUUUGUCCGUUUGUUCCUGCAGCUGGAGGAACUCAGCACCUCGAUACAAAAGCUCCACUUGGCUGAGAACCAGGACCUGACCAAGACAUCUGCUCCCUAACAAAGUGAGGUGCGGAGGAUGGCGACCACACACUCAUCUUCUCCCAACAUCUAACCAGUCCAGGUUGCCAUCACAUUGAUCCAGCUGCCUUAGUAACAGAAUGGAAAGAUCCACAGGAGGAGGAGCUAUCAUUUUUUUUCCAUUUGGUUGGUGGAGUAGAGGGAACAAUGUAGUGACUCAAAGCAGCUGAGCAUUAAAUGAACACUCAACCAAAACCAUAAUCCCCUCAGUUAUGGCACAAUAAAUGCUCAGUUGUGUUCGAUGAAAUGUUGCGGCCAAGUUUUUAGCAUGUUCUUGGCACAAAAUCGUUACGUCAUUCUGAACAAAUGAUUGAAUCCAAGUGCAGCUUUGGUUCUCUCGGUCGCUAAAGCAAAAUUCAUGACCCUUUCAAGAAGUUUGAUUCCACAGUAUGCCUUGUCUUUUGCAUCGUUUCAGAAGGUACACCUCUGUUAACAAACUUAAGACAUUUUAGCACUUGUCGACAACACCACUGUGGUUAGCUCAGAACUUUAAAAGGGAGUUUUCACUUUUGCUCUUAUUCUGAAUGCACUCCCUUGUUUUUAUAGCUUUGCUUUUAAAGUUUAAUACUGAGAAAGAAAGACUGGAUUUAAUAGAAGCUCGUUGAAUCUUUGAUACAUUUUAAAGGGUCUAUGUGAAAAGAUACAAAAUGUAUGUUUGAUGCAUGUAAAAUGGUUUAUAUGAUUUGCCGAUGUGCAAUCCAGCAAUUGUGUAUGUUGACACAUUUUGUGAGUACUUUAUCAGGGUUGCCCUUCUACUGAAAUGCUUUAAAUUGACCUACUGUCACAUGUCUGAUACUGUGUUGUUGGAUAUCAUAUUCAAAGAGUAUUGUGUCUGGAAGAAGUCUCUGUACAGUACAAUUUCAAAAUGGCAGCUACUUUUAUUAUUAAAAGUUUAGGGGGUGAGAUUCUGA